RNAcentral lists this ribosomal RNA (353 nucleotides) under uncultured Talaromyces. Its description in RNAcentral is "SSU rRNA". It matches the Rfam family "Eukaryotic small subunit ribosomal RNA", at positions 21 to 374 of the family's 1831-position model. The record is from RNAcentral. Lineage: Eukaryota; Fungi; Ascomycota; Eurotiomycetes; Eurotiales; Trichocomaceae.
UGUAGUCAUAUGCUUGUCUCAAAGAUUAAGCCAUGCAUGUCUAAGUAUAAGCACUCUUUUACUGUGAAACUGCGAAUGGCUCAUUAAAUCAGUUAUCGUUUAUUUGAUAGUACCCUACUACAUGGAUACCUGUGGUAAUUCUAGAGCUAAUACAUGCGCAAAACCCCGACUUCGGAAGGGGUGUAUUUAUUAGAUAAAAAACCAAUGCCCUUCGGGGCUCCUUGGUGAUUCAUAAUAACUUCACGAAUCGCAUGGCCUUGCGCCGGCGAUGGUUCAUUCAAAUUUCUGCCCUAUCAACUUUCGAUGGUAGGAUAGUGGCCUACCAUGGUGGCAACGGGUAACGGGGAAUGGGG